This 455-nucleotide ribosomal RNA is filed under the name uncultured bacterium. RNAcentral's name for it is "bacterial SSU rRNA". It matches the Rfam family "Bacterial small subunit ribosomal RNA", at positions 340 to 789 of the family's 1533-position model. The record is from RNAcentral.
UACGGAAGGCAGCAGUGGGGAAUAUUGCACAAUGGGCGCAAGCCUGAUGCAGCCAUGCCGCGUGUAUGAAAAAGGCCUUCGGGUUGUAAAGUACUUUCAGUCGUGAGGAAGGUGUUAAGGUUAAUAACCUUAGCAAUUGACGUUAGCGACAGAAGAAGCACCGGCUAACUCCGUGCCAGCAGCCGCGGUAAUACGGAGGGUGCGAGCGUUAAUCGGAAUUACUGGGCUAAAGGGCACGCAGGCGGUUAAUUAAGUUGGAUGUGAAAUCCCCGGGCUUAACCUGGGAAUGGCAUUCAAGACUGGUUAGCUAGAGUCUUGUAGAGGGGGUAGAAUUCCAUGUGUAGCGGUGAAAUGCGUAGAGAUGUGGAGGAAUACCGGUGGCGAAGGCGGCCCCUGGACAAAGACUGACGCUCAUGUGCGAAAGCGUGGGGAGCAAACAGGGAUUAGAUACCCGU